RNAcentral lists this ribosomal RNA (423 nucleotides) under uncultured fungus. Its description in RNAcentral is "eukaryotic LSU rRNA". It matches the Rfam family "Eukaryotic large subunit ribosomal RNA", at positions 1 to 422 of the family's 3401-position model. Lineage: Eukaryota; Fungi. The record is from RNAcentral.
GACCUCAGAUCAGGCAGGAUUACCCGCUGAACUUAAGCAUAUCAAUAAGCGGAGGAAAAGAAACUAACAAGGAUUCCCCUAGUAACGGCGAGUGAAGCGGGAAGAGCUCAAAUUUGUAAUCUGGCACUUUCAGUGUCCGAGUUGUAAUCUCGAGAAGUAUUUUCCGCGCCGGACCGCAUACAAGUCUGUUGGAAUACAGCGUCAUAGUGGUGAGAGCCCCGUAACUGAUGCGGAUGCCCGGUGCUUUGUGAUAUACUUUCGAAGAGUCGAGUUGUUUGGGAAUGCAGCUCAAAUUGGGUGGUAAAUUCCAUCUAAAGCUAAAUAUUGGAGCAAGACCGAUAGCGAACAAGUACCGUGAGGGAAAGAUGAAAAGCACUUUGGAAAGAGAGUUAACAGUACGUGAAAUUGUUGGAAGGGAAACGC